Molecule: small RNA, 1717 nt
Filed under: Camponotus floridanus (Florida carpenter ant)
Lineage: Eukaryota; Metazoa; Arthropoda; Insecta; Hymenoptera; Formicidae
Description: probable cytochrome P450 6a13
Source: RNAcentral
GCACAUCUUUUGUGGUGGCGCGUACGCUUUAUAAUUUGAUCCAACUUGGACCACGACAGUCAGUACCAUUUCCAGUCACUUCGCGACAAGUUGAUCGGCUGAGAUAGCUCCGGAUGUGUCAAUUGCUGUAAUCGUCCAUUAAGUUACCGCAUUCAAAAAAUAUCGCUCUAAAUAAUUGAUUGGCAACAGCAGAACAAUGGGACCUUUUGAAAUACUAUGUGGUAUUGCAGUUAUAUUUCUCGCGGCUUAUUAUUAUUUUACAUCAAACUACGAUUUUUGGAAGUCACGUGGCAUUCGCGGUCCAAAACCGAUACCAGUUUUUGGUAAUUUUAAAGACGUUAUGCUUACUAAAAGGUUCGCAGGAGAUUAUUUAAUGGAAAUAUACAAUGAGUAUAAAAAUGAAUCCAUGAUUGGAAUAUUCACAAGCAAAACACCUAUUUUGAUUGUAAAAGAUCCAGAUUUAAUUAAGGAUAUUCUUAUCAAAGAUUUUUCUAAGUUCGCCGAUAGAGGAUUUCCUAUCAGUGAAAAAGCUGAUCCACUGUCGCAACAUCUUUUCGCGUUAGAGUCUAAAAGAUGGCGACCUUUGAGGAUAAAGUUGUCCCCCGUUUUUACAUCUGGUAAGCUAAAAGAAAUGUUCUCUUUAAUAUCGGAAUGCGCCGAUCAUCUUGAACAAUAUAUUGAGAAAUUGGUGAGCAAAAACGAGCCUAUAGAAUGCCGCGAGGUAACGGCAAAAUAUACGACCGAUGUAAUCGGUACUUGUGUAUUCGGCAUCGAAAUGAAUGCUCUAUCAGACGAAGACAGUGAAUUUCGUAGGAUGGGAAGAAUGGUCUUCACGCCAACCUGGCAAAAUAUUUUACGGUUGAGAAUAAGUCAAUUCUUUCCAUGGCUCUACGAAAUGCUCGGUUAUAUCCUACCACAAUCGGAGGUCAAUCAAUUUUUCACACGUGUUGUCAUAGAAACUAUGAAUUAUAGAGAAACAAAUAAUGUCAUUAGGCAUGAUUUCAUUGAUAUGCUGCGCGAGUUAAAAAAGAAUCCAGAUAAAGUAGGUGAUAUCAAGAUGACCAAAAGCUUGAUAGCUGCUCAAGCGUUCGUAUUUUUCCUUGCCGGUUUUGAAACUUCAUCGACGACUAUGAGUCAUGCUCUUUACGAAUUGGCAUUAAAUCAACAAAUACAAGAUAAACUACGUGAGGAAAUUGAUCAAAAGUACACCAAACAUGGUAGCAAUUUAACAUAUGAAAAUGUAAAAGAGAUGAAUUACUUAGAUAAAGUUUUCAAAGAAACUUUACGAAAAUAUCCACCAGUGACAUUUCUUAUGCGACAAUCGACAUCAAGUUAUACUUUCAAUGGUACUACACUUGACAUAACAAAAAAUCAAAAAGUAUGGAUUCCGAUUUUCGCGAUUCAUCGAGAUCCGGAUAUUUAUCCGAAGCCAGAUACUUUUGAUCCAGAAAGAUUUAAUGACGAUGCAAUACAAACCAGGCAUCCGAUGCACUAUCUACCUUUUGGUGAUGGUCCAAGAAAUUGUAUUGGUGCUCGCUUUGCUGUUUAUCAGACAAAGAUUGGUCUUAUAAAGAUACUACGAAACUAUAAAGUUGAAGUUUGCGAUAAAACGCAAAUACCCUACAUAAUUGAUCCUAAAGCACUUAUAUUAGCAUCAAAGGGUGGAAUACACUUAAGAAUAAUUAAAAUUAAUCGAACUUAAUUUAAGUUUUAUUAC